RNAcentral lists this signal recognition particle RNA (264 nucleotides) under Marvinbryantia formatexigens. Its description in RNAcentral is "Bacterial large signal recognition particle RNA". It matches the Rfam family "Bacterial large signal recognition particle RNA". Rfam says of the family: The signal recognition particle (SRP) is a universally conserved ribonucleoprotein involved in the co-translational targeting of proteins to membranes. Archaeal SRP consists of a 7S RNA and homologues of the eukaryotic SRP19 and SRP54 proteins. In most bacteria, the SRP consists of a 4.5S RNA and the Ffh protein (a homologue of the eukaryotic SRP54 protein). Lineage: Bacteria; Bacillati; Bacillota; Clostridia; Lachnospirales; Lachnospiraceae. The record is from RNAcentral.
UCCACGCAACCGGGGAGAUAGCGGUGCCCUGUACCUGCAAUCCGCUACAGCAGGGGUGAUGCCAAUCCGAGGGUUUUUCAUUGUGGAGCUGCCCUCUAUAAGUGGCGUUGACGUCUGGGUCUUGCACAACAGAACUCUGUGAACCGUGUCAGGUCAGGAAUGAAGCAGCACUAAGCAGAACCUUUUGUGUGUUGCAAGGGUGCCUGGGCCGAGUUAACUGUAGAGGUAACGUCUGUGGUGGGAAUUCGAAGUGCGGCGCGUGGA